GACGGUACAGGGUGAUAGUCCCGUACACCAAAAUGCACAGGCUGUGAACUCGAAGAGUAGGGCGGGACACGUGGUAUCCUGUCUGAAUAUGGGGGGACCAUCCUCCAAGGCUAAAUACUCCUGACUGACCGAUAGUGAACCAGUACCGUGAGGGAAAGGCGAAAAGAACCCCGGCGAGGGGAGUGAAAAAGAACCUGAAACCGUGUACGUACAAGCAGUGGGAGCACCUUCGGGUGUGACUGCGUACCUUUUGUAUAAUGGGUCAGCGACUUAUAUUCUGUAGCAAGGUUAACCGUAUAGGGGAGCCGCAGGGAAACCGAGUCUUAACUGGGCGUUAAGUUGCAGGGUAUAGACCCGAAACCCGGUGAUCUAGCCAUGGGCAGGUUGAAGGUUGGGUAACACUAACUGGAGGACCGAACCGACUAAUGUUGAAAAAUUAGCGGAUGACUUGUGGCUGGGGGUGAAAGGCCAAUCAAACCGGGAGAUAGCUGGUUCUCCCCGAAAGCUAUUUAGGUAGCGCCUCGUGAACUCAUCUUCGGGGGUAGAGCACUGUUUCGGCUAGGGGGUCAUCCCGACUUACCAACCCGAUGCAAACUACGAAUACCGAAGAAUGUUAUCACGGGAGACACACGGCGGGUGCUAACGUCCGUCGUGAAGAGGGAAACAACCCAGACCGCCAGCUAAGGUCCCAAAGUCAUGGUUAAGUGGGAAACGAUGUGGGAAGGCACAGACAGCCAGGAUGUUGGCUUAGAAGCAGCCAUCAUUUAAAGAAAGCGUAAUAGCUCACUGGUCGAGUCGGCCUGCGCGGAAGAUGUAACGGGGCUAAACCAUGCACCGAAGCUGCGGCAGCGACACUAUGUGUUGUUGGGUAGGGGAGCG
Molecule: ribosomal RNA, 879 nt
Filed under: Klebsiella pneumoniae
Lineage: Bacteria; Pseudomonadati; Pseudomonadota; Gammaproteobacteria; Enterobacterales; Enterobacteriaceae
Description: partial 23S ribosomal RNA
Rfam family: Bacterial large subunit ribosomal RNA
Source: RNAcentral